Molecule: transfer RNA, 68 nt
Filed under: Marmota monax (woodchuck)
Lineage: Eukaryota; Metazoa; Chordata; Mammalia; Rodentia; Sciuridae
Description: tRNA.Ala
Source: RNAcentral
GGUUGUGGCUCAGUGGUCAAGUGCUUGCCUAGCAAUGCAGGAGGACCUGGGUUCAAUUCUCAGCACCA